GCAAUGCCGCGUGCAGGAUGAAGGCCUUCGGGUUGUAAACUGCUUUUGUACGGAACGAAACGGCGAGCUCUAAUAAAGUUCGCUAAUGACGGUACCGUAAGAAUAAGCACCGGCUAACUACGUGCCAGCAGCCGCGGUAAUACGUAGGGUGCAAGCGUUAAUCGGAAUUACUGGGCGUAAAGCGUGCGCAGGCGGUGAUGUAAGACAGAUGUGAAAUCCCCGGGCUCAACCUGGGACCUGCAUUUGUGACUGCAUCGCUAGAGUACGGUAGAGGGGGAUGGAAUUCCGCGUGUAGCAGUGAAAUGCGUAGAUAUGCGGAGGAACACCGAUGGCGAAGGCAAUCCCCUGGACCUGUACUGACGCUCAUGCACGAAAGCGUGGGGAGCAAACAGGAUUAGAUACCCUGGUAGUCCACGCCCUAAACGAUGUCAACUGGUUGUUGGGUCUUCACUGACUCACUAACGAAGCUAACGC
RNAcentral lists this ribosomal RNA (474 nucleotides) under Comamonadaceae bacterium. Its description in RNAcentral is "bacterial SSU rRNA". It matches the Rfam family "Bacterial small subunit ribosomal RNA", at positions 391 to 858 of the family's 1533-position model. The record is from RNAcentral. Lineage: Bacteria; Pseudomonadati; Pseudomonadota; Betaproteobacteria; Burkholderiales; Comamonadaceae.